RNAcentral lists this ribosomal RNA (489 nucleotides) under Salmonella enterica subsp. enterica serovar Kentucky. RNAcentral's name for it is "partial 23S ribosomal RNA". It matches the Rfam family "Bacterial large subunit ribosomal RNA", at positions 140 to 668 of the family's 2925-position model. The record is from RNAcentral. RNAcentral also lists the same sequence under 2 other names. Lineage: Bacteria; Pseudomonadati; Pseudomonadota; Gammaproteobacteria; Enterobacterales; Enterobacteriaceae.
UCGUCACACUAUCAUUAACUGAAUCCAUAGGUUAAUGAGGCGAACCGGGGGAACUGAAACAUCUAAGUACCCCGAGGAAAAGAAAUCAACCGAGAUUCCCCCAGUAGCGGCGAGCGAACGGGGAGGAGCCCAGAGCCUGAAUCAGCAUGUGUGUUAGUGGAAGCGUCUGGAAAGGCGCGCGAUACAGGGUGACAGCCCCGUACACAAAAGCGCAUGUGCUGUGAGCUCGAUGAGUAGGGCGGGACACGUGGUAUCCUGUCUGAAUAUGGGGGGACCAUCCUCCAAGGCUAAAUACUCCUGACUGACCGAUAGUGAACCAGUACCGUGAGGGAAAGGCGAAAAGAACCCCGGCGAGGGGAGUGAAAAAGAACCUGAAACCGUGUACGUACAAGCAGUGGGAGCACAGGUUUACCUGUGUGACUGCGUACCUUUUGUAUAAUGGGUCAGCGACUUAUAUUCUGUAGCAAGGUUAACCGAAUAGGGGAGCCG